GUUAGGAAUAUUGGACAAUGGGCGCAAGCCUGAUCCAGCCAUGCCGCGUGAGUGAUGAAGGCCUUCGGGUUGUAAAGCUCUUUAGCCGAUGAUUAUAAUGACUGUAGUCGGAAAAUAAGCCCCGGCUAACUUCGUGCCAGCAGCCGCGGUAAUACGAAGGGGGCGAGCGUUAUUCGGAAUCACUGGGCGUAAAGCGUGCGUAGGCGGCUUUGCAAGUUGGGAGGGAAAGCCCAAGGCUAAACCCUGGAAUUGCUCUCAAAACUGCAAGGCUCGAAUUCGGGAGAGGAUAGCGGAAUUGUCAGUGUAGCAGUGAAAUGCGUAGAUAUUGACAGGAACACCAGUGGCGUAAGCGGCUAUCUGGACCGAUAUUGACGCUGAGGCACGAAAGCGUGGGGAUCAAACAGGAUUAGAUACCCGGGUAGUCC
RNAcentral lists this ribosomal RNA (425 nucleotides) under uncultured bacterium. RNAcentral describes it as "partial 16S ribosomal RNA". It matches the Rfam family "Bacterial small subunit ribosomal RNA", at positions 354 to 796 of the family's 1533-position model. The record is from RNAcentral.